UCUCCGUAGGUGAACCUGCGGAGGGAUCAUUACAGAGUUCAUGCACUACCGGGUAGAUCUCCAUACCUAUGUUACUAUUACUUCGUUGCUUUGGCGCGCCGUUAGGCUCCGGCCCCACUACCCGCGCCGGCUGGUAGGGGCCUGUCAGAGGAUCCAAAACCCUGACUAUUAGUGACGUUUGAGUACUUUAUAAUAGUUAAAACUUUCAACAACGGUUCUGUCGGUUCUGGCAUCCAUGAAAAACGGAGCAGAUCGGAAGAGCAACCCUCUGCACCAUAC
RNAcentral lists this unclassified non-coding RNA (279 nucleotides) under plant metagenome. Its description in RNAcentral is "partial contains small subunit ribosomal RNA, internal transcribed spacer 1, and 5.8S ribosomal RNA". The record is from RNAcentral.